Helianthus annuus (common sunflower) is the source of this 1936-nucleotide long non-coding RNA. RefSeq lists it as uncharacterized. The record is from RefSeq and is a predicted model, not a curated record. Lineage: Eukaryota; Viridiplantae; Streptophyta; Magnoliopsida; Asterales; Asteraceae. The transcript has 3 exons.
CAAAAUGAUGGUCAAACUCUUGCUUAUCAAGUGCUCCUUCCUUUAUACAAAAUCUGUGAGUGAUUUGCUGGGAACGUUCUCUAUGAUGAGACGAGACGAAACAAUUUACACAAGGGGUACGGGCUAGCAUCAAAGGCGAAAUCCGGGUACAAACUUUUAACAAAAUUUUAAAUUUGACCGGGAAUAAUUCUAAGGUAAAAAGAGAUAAUAUUAACCGUUUCAAUUAGGGGUAAUAUGGUACUUUGUUAUUUGUUAUUUUUGGAAUCCAUUAACAUUUAUUUCCGUUUAAUGGAUAACGUGGAAAGUGCAGAGCUGCAAAGUUUGGUACAAAUGGUGGGGAUCCCGUUCCUGUCAAGUGCAAAAGAUAGCUAGCAUCGUGUUGGUCGUGAACUUUUUGGAAUAAAAUUGAAUAUUGAUUGGCCAUUAAAAAAAAUCUUGGUCAAUUAUAGGUGAAAUUCAUAUACAUGAUUUAUUAGCAUUUUGGUAGGUGUACAGAAUUAACAUAAUAGUGUUGAAUUGGUGGGUGGAGAUGGAUGGAAUCCUCCUUAUUUUACUGUUCGCGUUGAAACGGACAAACGGUACUGGUUGAAAUGGUACGCGUCGAAACGGUACGGGUCGAAACGGCUCGCGUCGAAACCCGUCUCGGUCCGAAACAAAAUUAUUUUGUUGGAUUAUUCCUUCAGGUGGUGGUGGUGUUUUUGCUGAUGCUGCACCAGCAGCCGCUGCACCAGCAGCCGCUGCACCAGCAGCCGCUGCACCAGCAGCCGCUGCACCAGCAGCCGCUGCACCAGCAGCCGCUGCACCAGCAGCCGCUGCACCAGCAGCCGCUGCACCAGCAGCCGCUGCACCAGCAGCCGCUGCACCAGCAGCCGCUGCACCAGCAGCCGCUGCACCAGCAGCCGCUGCACCAUUCUUCUCAAGAACAAGAAAACAAACUUUUUCUUCCUGUAGUUACAAAACAACAGAUAGAUAUGAGAGAUUUGACAUUGAAAUGGAAAUUGAAUUGUUUUGUGAUUUGAUGAUUUAGGUCAAAUAGUUUAUAAGAAGCUGAAGGAGAGGUCAGGGGAGUAUAUGGCACGAGGUUGUGUUAGAAGUGAGGAAAGUAAGACGAGUCCAUUGGUGGAGCCGACGUCGUUUUGAUCGGCGAUAUACCAAUCUGGCAGCUCUAUGCACCGAGGCUGCACUCCAAUGCAUCAGAGAGAAAACGGACGUGAUCGAUUUGGAAGACGAGUCCAUCGAUGCGGAAAUUCUUAACUUCAUGACAGUUACGAAUGAGCAUUUUCAGACCGCCCUCGGGACCAGCAAUCCUUCUGCUCUUCGUGAGACUAUUGUCAAAGUUCCGAACGUUAGCUGGGAAGACAUCGGUGGACUCGAGAAUCUUAAACUAGAUCUACAAGAGCUGUGUAGACUGUUCAAUAUUCUGUCGAACAUCCCGUGAAAUUUGAGAAGUUCGGUAUGCUUAGGGGUGUGAAUUUCUCACACAUGUCAAACUUAACACGAUACGUGGGCUUGUGUUUGGCCUAAACGGGUUUGGGACUUUGGGUCAGCAUCAGACUUUUAUUCGGACCUGUAUUGGUUGGAUUUAUGCUGGUAAAGGUUCCGGGUUAUACGUUUGGGCCGGUUAGCUUAUGAAGACUCAGUUCUGGUACCCUAUUCAGACUCAAGGGGACCGGGUUUUGGCUGUUAUAUAAUGUGUCGUAAAAUGCUGAAGGACAGGGAUGUGCUUCUGUGUUUGGCUGCAAGAAGUGGGCUCCGCCAACAGUUGUACGUAGCAAGUCCCAAGCUGAUUUGUCUGAAGAUUAUUGUCAAAUUGGAACUUUUGCAGCUGCUGAUUGAUUCCGAAAAUUAGCUUUGCAUUGUAUAUUCUCAAAACAGUAUCGUUUUGCCCCAUUGUAAAUCUAUUUAUUUCUUUUUUGAAUUCAGGGUUCAUUUUUUA